GACUUCCUGGGUCUGGGUGUCCCUGUGCGGGAUUGGAUCCCGGGACUUUAUUGGGGCCGCAUCCAGACCCCUUUACUGCCUGGUGCCUCCAUCUCCGGCUUCUGGGUGUGCUGGGGGCCAACAGCUCACAGCCGCCCCCUUCUCUGAAUAGUUAAUUGUCCUUGGGGAACUGCUACGCCCUGGAAGUUACCACUCCCCAAACGCCCGGAGCUCAUGGCUGACUGGGGUUGCAGUAUAAAGGCCCAGCUCCUUUGCCUCCAAGAGAGUUGACUCGUGCUAUUCGUGCUCCGAGCUCCUCUGGAAUGAAGUUGAAGGAGUGAGAAUCCAGAAUAAUGAGAGGACAGCCAGCAGGGGAAGGAAGUCCCCGGGAGGCGAGUUGGGCUGGCCCUGUGCACAGCUGACAGGAGCCUGGCCUCCUCAGGAACCUCCAAGGAUUUGGCUUCGGGACAGUGCAGGGCUGCAUCCACGUUGAGACGAGCUCGGUUUCCUCAGGACUGGCUGGGAGGUGCCUCCCUGGGAGAAAAGGGUCAUCCAGAACACCCAAGAUGGGACUUCCCUGGUGGUGCAGUGGUUAAGAGUCCACCUGCCAAUGCACGGGACGUGGGUUCGAUCCCUGGUCCAGGAAGAUCCCACAUGCCGCGGGGCAACUAAGCCCGUGAGCCACAACUACUGAGCCCGCGUGCGGCAACUACUGAAGCCCGUGCACCUAGAGCCCGUGCUCCUCAACAAGAGAAGCCACCGCAAUGAGAAGCCCGCGCACGGCAACGAAGAGUAGGCAACGAAGAGUAGCCCCCGCUUUCCGCAACUAGAGAAAGCCUGCGUGCAGCAACGAAGACCCAACGCAACCAUAAAUAAAUAAAUUAAUUAAUUAAUUUAAAAAAAUAACUAGACUGUCUUUUCUAAUCUGCAUGUGUUCAGUGUACAAUUCUUGUACACCUUUUCCCUCACCUCUAUUGGAGGCUGAUUCAGAACACAUACAACCUCCUGGAGAAACUUGCCCCGACCCUGCUAUGUACUGCCACCUAGCUGGCCUGGUACUGAGUCACCAAAAACUUUUGUUCUUUACUUGAUUCUUAAUUCCUUUAGAAUUCAUUACUUUACUGUUAUAAAUGUUUAUUGUCCUUGUAAUAAAUCUUUUAAUCAUUUUUAUUUUAAAAAUAAAA
Molecule: long non-coding RNA, 1163 nt
Organism: Lagenorhynchus albirostris (white-beaked dolphin)
Lineage: Eukaryota; Metazoa; Chordata; Mammalia; Artiodactyla; Delphinidae
Exons: 4
Source: RefSeq, a predicted model, not a curated record